Molecule: non-coding RNA, 29 nt
Filed under: Bombyx mori (domestic silkworm)
Lineage: Eukaryota; Metazoa; Arthropoda; Insecta; Lepidoptera; Bombycidae
Source: RNAcentral
UCCACGUUCACCUCGAUGUCAUGACCGUC